GGAGUUGCAAGGAGCGACCUUUUUGAACAUUGAGACGUGAGUCCUUCUCCAGGAAGGCCGCUCCGUAUUCUGAACCUUUACCUUUUACGAAUAUGAUAUUUCCCCCAGAAAUACCAGGUUUCAUAUCAACACUUCAAGUGUGCCGCCAAUGCCGCUUUCUGCCCAUGAGAGCGAAGCAGCACCGCACGGCAUACCUGGCCCACCAGACAAUCCAGCAGGGAGUGGUACCUUCGUUGCCAUGCACAAGCAUUAUCUCCUUCUGCAGUGGUCAGCAAAAGGGGCGUGU
Molecule: long non-coding RNA, 286 nt
Organism: Tympanuchus pallidicinctus (lesser prairie-chicken)
Lineage: Eukaryota; Metazoa; Chordata; Aves; Galliformes; Phasianidae
Exons: 3
Source: RefSeq, a predicted model, not a curated record